This 617-nucleotide ribosomal RNA is filed under the name Bacillus pumilus. RNAcentral's name for it is "bacterial SSU rRNA". It matches the Rfam family "Bacterial small subunit ribosomal RNA", at positions 707 to 1324 of the family's 1533-position model. The record is from RNAcentral. Lineage: Bacteria; Bacillati; Bacillota; Bacilli; Caryophanales; Bacillaceae.
CACCAGUGGCGAAGGCGACUCUCUGGUCUGUAACUGACGCUGAGGAGCGAAAGCGUGGGGAGCGAACAGGAUUAGAUACCCUGGUAGUCCACGCCGUAAACGAUGAGUGCUAAGUGUUAGGGGGUUUCCGCCCCUUAGUGCUGCAGCUAACGCAUUAAGCACUCCGCCUGGGGAGUACGGUCGCAAGACUGAAACUCAAAGGAAUUGACGGGGGCCCGCACAAGCGGUGGAGCAUGUGGUUUAAUUCGAAGCAACGCGAAGAACCUUACCAGGUCUUGACAUCCUCUGACAACCCUAGAGAUAGGGCUUUCCCUUCGGGGACAGAGUGACAGGUGGUGCAUGGUUGUCGUCAGCUCGUGUCGUGAGAUGUUGGGUUAAGUCCCGCAACGAGCGCAACCCUUGAUCUUAGUUGCCAGCAUUUAGUUGGGCACUCUAAGGUGACUGCCGGUGACAAACCGGAGGAAGGUGGGGAUGACGUCAAAUCAUCAUGCCCCUUAUGACCUGGGCUACACACGUGCUACAAUGGACAGAACAAAGGGCUGCGAGACCGCAAGGUUUAGCCAAUCCCAUAAAUCUGUUCUCAGUUCGGAUCGCAGUCUGCAACUCGACUGCGUGAA